Molecule: ribosomal RNA, 447 nt
Filed under: uncultured bacterium
Lineage: Bacteria
Description: bacterial SSU rRNA
Rfam family: Bacterial small subunit ribosomal RNA
Source: RNAcentral
UCGGGAAUUUUGGGCAAUGGGCGAAAGCCUGACCCAGCAACGCCGCGUGAAGGAUGAAGUAUUUCGGUAUGUAAACUUCGAAAGAAUAGGAAGAAUAAAUGACGGUACUAUUUAUAAGGUCCGGCUAACUACGUGCCAGCAGCCGCGGUAAUACGUAGGGACCAAGCGUUGUUCGGAUUUACUGGGCGUAAAGGGCGCGUAGGCGGCAAUUCAAGUCAUCUGUGAAAUCUCCGGGCUUAACUCGGAACGGUCAGAUGAUACUGCUUUGCUAGAGUGCAGAAGGGGCAAUCGGAAUUCUUGGUGUAGCGGUGAAAUGCGUAGAUAUCAAGAGGAACACCUGAGGCGAAGGCGAGUUGCUAGGCUGACACUGACGCUGAGGUACGAAAGCUAGGGGAGCGAACGGGAUUAGAUACCCAAGUAGUCCCUGAGCGGGCUGGCAAGGCGCAU